This 496-nucleotide ribosomal RNA is filed under the name uncultured bacterium. Its description in RNAcentral is "partial 16S ribosomal RNA". It matches the Rfam family "Bacterial small subunit ribosomal RNA", at positions 28 to 507 of the family's 1533-position model. The record is from RNAcentral.
GAUGAACGCUGGCGGCGUGCCUAAUACAUGCAAGUCGAGCGAACGGACGAGAAGCUUGCUUCUCUGAUGUUAGCGGCGGACGGGUGAGUAACACGUGGAUAACCUACCUAUAAGACUGGGAUAACUUCGGGAAACCGGAGCUAAUACCGGAUAAUAUUUUGAACCGCAUGGUUCAAAAGUGAAAGACGGUCUUGCUGUCACUUAUAGAUGGAUCCGCGCUGCAUUAGCUAGUUGGUAGGUAACGGCUUACCAAGGCAACGAUGCAUAGCCGACCUGAGAGGGUGAUCGGCCACACUGGAACUGAGACAAGGUCCAGACUCCUACGGGAGGCAGCAGUAGGGAAUCUUCCGCAAUGGGCGAAAGCCUGACGGAGCAACGCCGCGUGAGUGAUGAAGGUCUUCGGAUCGUAAAACUCUGUUAUUAGGGAAGAACAUAUGUGUAAGUAACUGUGCACAUCUUGACGGUACCUAAUCAGAAAGCCACGGCUAACUACGUG